RNAcentral lists this long non-coding RNA (380 nucleotides) under Calidris pugnax (ruff). RNAcentral describes it as "lncRNA (ENSCPUG00000005268.1)". The record is from RNAcentral. Lineage: Eukaryota; Metazoa; Chordata; Aves; Charadriiformes; Scolopacidae.
UGUUGAUCUUUCAGGUCUUUGCCUUAAUAGUUGCUGUUUGCGCAGAGUUUGGCUACCAGGAAUGUUUACUGAGUAUUUGUUGGCCAGCUGUCCAACCCCUUCCAUCCUGCCCCUCUAAAGAGGGUUUCAUCAGAUCCCAUUAAAACCCGGGAGCUUAUUUUAAGACUGUAGACCCUACGAGGCCUCUGGAGCAUUUGUGCUUCUUAUCCUCGUGCAUCAUUUUUUCCACAUUCGCUGCAAUACUCCUUGUUAAGCUUCUAAAAGGCUUUCAGAUGAACCAUAUGGAGAACUAUAUAGGACGUGGGUUCUAGUUGCCAAUACUGCUGAGCUGCUGGAGCCACAUCUCCUGAUUCUGAGGUGUUGUGGCAGCAGAAGAGGCA